Molecule: long non-coding RNA, 629 nt
Organism: Mauremys reevesii (Reeves's turtle)
Lineage: Eukaryota; Metazoa; Chordata; Testudines; Geoemydidae
Exons: 3
Source: RefSeq, a predicted model, not a curated record
AUGGUAUUGCAGUGGCAUCACAUCCCAAUACCAGAUCGCAAUGUGGUGUCAUAGUGUUGGCUGGAACAGGAGGCCCAUGGCAACUGCAGGGAGGAUGUAAUAUCCCUGGGCUGUCAUUCUGUGAAGAACAGCUGUCAUUCCUCCCAUUGUGUGUGUGUGUGCGUUUGAGCGGUGGAGAGAAUAUGGGAAAGACAGAGAACUGCCAUUGAGGAAGAUGAUGAUCCUACUUACAGAUGAACAUGCCACUUUUCGGAGAGCACAAGCUGGCAAGAAGAGGUAUGGGGCUGCUGUGUUCUUUUUGGCUUCAGCUAAGCUUACUGCUUUAUGCCAGAGACACAAAGACAGUGGCCCCAAAUCUGUUCCUAUGGAAGUCAAUGGCAAAGCUUCCACUGGGACAGGAUCAAUCCAGAAAGAGAGAGAGAGAAAGCAGAAGCCCAGUUGACACAGGACUCAACCAAGUUAAGACCCCAUUUAGACAUGGUUCCAUACAAAAUAAUUUAACCACAAUUUGGCCCCAUCCAUCCUGAACAGCCAAAUAUUUUUAGCUGGAAUUGUUGUUUAAACAGAAUUUUAAACCAGGUGAGCAGACUCCUUGAAACCCACUGUAGAGUUUGCCAGAGAAAGAUUGG